AUGGGGAAUAUUGGACAAUGGGGGGAACCCUGAUCCAGCCAUGCCGCGUGUGUGAAGAAGGCCUUUUGGUUGUAAAGCACUUUAAGCGAGGAGGAGGAGCUCUAGACUAAUACUCUAGAUGCUUGGACGUUACUCGCAGAAUAAGCACCGGCUAACUCUGUGCCAGCAGCCGCGGUAAUACAGAGGGUGCAAGCGUUAAUCGGAUUUACUGGGCGUAAAGCGUGCGUAGGUGGUCUUUUAAGUCGGAUGUGAAAUCCCUGAGCUUAACUUAGGAAUUGCAUUCGAUACUGGGAGACUAGAGUAUGGGAGAGGAUGGUAGAAUUCCAGGUGUAGCGGUGAAAUGCGUAGAGAUCUGGAGGAAUACCGAUGGCGAAGGCAGCCAUCUGGCCUAAUACUGACACUGAGGUACGAAAGCAUGGGGAGCAAACAGG
This 431-nucleotide ribosomal RNA is filed under the name uncultured bacterium. RNAcentral describes it as "bacterial SSU rRNA". It matches the Rfam family "Bacterial small subunit ribosomal RNA", at positions 354 to 776 of the family's 1533-position model. The record is from RNAcentral.